CUGCACUCUAGCCUGGGUAACAGAGCAAGACCCUGUCUCAAAAAACAAACAACAAAACAACCAAACAAAUGUGUUGUUGAUAUUUGGACACAGAACAGAACAGCAGCAGCCAGGGACUGGGAUGGGGGUGAGGCUGACCACAGAGUGACGGCAUGAGGGAUUGUUUUGGGGUGAUGAGACCAUUAUGAAUCUUGAUUGUGGUGGUGGUUGUGUGACUGCAUACAGUCCUCAAAACCCUUAGAACUGUAACCCCAAACAAUGACUUUUACUGUCUAUACAUUUAGGAAAUAACUAAAGCAUGAACAGUGUGCUGUUUCCAGGCAGUACUGAGCAGGGUGAGUGCUCCCUCUCAGGGAAGACCCCUGGGUUCGAUUCCUGGCCCCUUCACUUCUUAGCUGUGUGUCUUGGUUCCCAUGACUGUAAAAGGAAGGUGAUGAUCCCUACUGCAUAGAGUUGGAAUGAGGAUUAAAUGGAUUCAGCUCUGAAUCAGGCUGGGGUGUAGAAAUUGCCACCUAAGAGAUUUCUCCUCACCAGGAUUUCCAGGCCCCAGGUGUGUGUCUUGGGGAUGGAGGAGGAGGAGCUGAGGAUGCGGGAAGCUCAUGUUCCUGCAGGUGCUGUGUCAUCCAUUGACUUUAUUUGCUUGCGUCAUACCGUCAGUGCUGGGACCCCUUACGCGUGGGGUGCUCUUUGUUUCCCAUGACAUCAAUUGUGUUCUGGUCACAUCCCACGCACGCCCUGGACAUAGGGCAGCUGAAGCUUGGGCCAGGCUGGCUGGUCCCUCCUGGGCAGGUGAAGCAGGAGGCCUGAACUCUGAGCCCUGGCUGGGUGGGGCUCUUUCUGGCGUAACCCGUUUUGCUGGUCAGCAGUCACAGCGAGGGAGAGCCAGGUGAGGGAGAGAGAGUCCUUGCCUGGACUUGGGAAGGUCUCACUUUGCUUUUGGUUGCCCCAGGUCCAGGAGCUGCUCUGAGCAGGAAGGAACAUGCUGUGUGUUGGGGCCUGAUGAGACAGGCCAGUCUCCUUGACUUUCCUGCUUAAGGGGCAGGAGGUGGGUCCGCCUUCCUUGGUGUGUCCUGCUGCUGUUUCCCAAUGCUGCUUCCCAAAUGUCCCCUCCCUGUGGUUGAGCCCAGGCCUCUCUGGGUCCUUCCAGGCAGACUUGCCCACCUGCCUGUAUUUUGGGAUGCAGCUGCCACCCUGUUUCAUCACCAACAUGUUUCCAUCUGAUUCUGCCUUCCAGAAAUUGAUUGUAAUCUCGUGCUGGCUUGCUGACCACCUGCUUCCAGUCCUUUUUGUGGCAAGAGGUUCAUUCCCUUUAGAAUUCAUUUGCUGGCCUGGGAGGGAAGAGAGACAAGUACGUGCUGAGCCACAGACUGGAGUGCCCUCCUCUUAGAAAGCAGCCACGCAUCAGGGAGCGAGUCAGUCAUUUACAUUCCAGCACAAAUGAUGCCAGUGGCCUUUCUCUGAAAUAGGCGUCUGAAGCACAGGUUGCUGGAGAAGGCCUGCCACAUUUGAAUGGGAGGCCUCCACCUGUGUCCAGGGGGCUUCUAGGAGGUUGAGGGUAUUGAGGCCCAGGGCGAGCAGGAAGAAGGAAGAGCAGGGGGUGCAAGGGUGGCACCAGAUGCAAGAGCAGUGGACGAGACCCCACACUGACCUUGAAUUGGAGACCCAGGCUUGCUUUGUUCUCUGUGAGGCCUUUUGGGGUAGGCUGCAGCGGGGAGUCUAGAGGGUGCUCUGGGGUCCUUGUGCCCAGAUAGCAGGACAUUCUCCUUUCUCGCUGCCAGGCCCCAAAUGUAUGCAUAAGCCGAUUUUAUCAGGUAGAAAGCAAGAGGUUUAGAACUCUAACAGGUGGAUAUCAGAGAAAGCUUUCACCCGAGCCAUUUAUUUGAGAACACAAAAGGAAACCGUUCUCGUGCCGCAUUCUCACAGUCAGGCUUAGGAUCCUUCUCAAAGGCCUGGGCAAACUUUCGAGAACCCCCACUUGUGAAGGCUUCGAUGCUGUCUUGCUCUUCCCUGUGGCAUGCUGGGCAGGAGUGAGGACAAAGUCUCUGAGCGGCCAUGUGAACCCGUCUGGGCAGUCCCUGGCUCAGGAAUUGGGGGUGCAUAACUGUUCUCCACCCUCUGCCCUCCCUUGCAUAACCCCUCCUGGGGUGAGGGCACAUGGUGUAGGCAAAGGUUUGAGUGGGGGGAGCUGACCCAGGGUGCGGCAUGAGACAGGGCGCUGAAGAGAGGGCAGGGUCCGGGUGGUGCCAGACACGGUGGGCAUGGGGAGGCUGUGGCUUUGUGUGUGUUUUUGGCUUCCUUUGGAAAGGAAAUGAUUGGCCGUGGUGGCCUCCUACAGCAAUGUUUUCUUUCUCAUUUGGAGUCUUGAACAGUCAGGCGUCCUCUCCUCCAACAGAGACCUUCCGAUGGAGCUAGUGUGCUGAAGUCAUUGAGCGGAGGGCGAGGCGGCCUCAGUACCCCUGGGGUCGGGGAUGUGCUCCCUUGGACCAGGCCUUUUUGCCAUGACCAGACAGGGCCAGGGGUGUCAGGAGGAAGUAGGAUUAGGACACCCAGUGAUGGCGGUGGCCCCAGCAGUCCCUGUCUCCCUGCACUCUCCCUUCCUGCUCAGCUGUCCCUCCAGAGGAUAGCAGAGAAGAUGCGGCAGCCUGACCCCAGGAGGAGCACCUCCAUGGAGGCUGGCCUCCUUCGCCGCAGCCUGUGGGGUUCACAUGCCCGGCCGGUGGAGCUGUCUGGUCCCUGAGUCUGGGGGCCGAGGCUCUCCCUGCAACCCUAGUGAUCAGGUCACCAUCUCUGUGUGUCUGCUUUGCCUCGCUCAGGGGUGACUCGCCCAGCACGCUCCAGUGAGCACUGUUUUUGUUUCAUCUGUCGUGUGUCAGUCAGUGGGGGCAGCGAGGACAGCGGUUCCACGCCCUGGGCACAGCCCUCGCCCACAAGCACUGUCCUGGUGUUGCAUAGGCGUCGCACAGAUGCAGCAGCGCCUCCACCCUGGAUGGUUUUACACACAGUCCCCAGCACGGGAACCAGGGUGCUUGGCCUCCCUCAGAAGCUGCUGUCUUACCCUACUUUGAGGGAGGAAGCCUGUGUGUACUGAACACGGGCUCUGCUGAGCCUUGUCCCCAUACACCACCCCCUGCCACCUCCCAGCAGGCUCAGGCCCUGGGCACCCGCACUGCCUGGGCAGCCUGACCUCGGAGCCUGAGUGCCCUGGCCCCCAACCAGCUGCUCCCUGGCUCUAAAGAGUGAGAAGUAGGAGAGGAAAUGGAGUCAGGACCCCCCAUCCCUCCUCACAGGGUGCACAGGCCAAGCUGGAGGGCAGCCAGGCGGCAGCAGAAGCCUCUCCUCUUCCUGGUCCCCAUGGUGGGAGCUGAUUGCCACCCUCCCCCUUCCCUUGGGGAUGCUGCUGGUAGUCACUAUGGGGGAAAAGCAAUUAUGUUUCCAGACCAUAAGGAGCAGGCCCUGGGCCCUGCAGGCCCAAGGGCCCUAGCCCCACUGCCGCCUGGGCACGUCAGGGAGAGAUAUCCCAGCUUUGCUUCCCACCAAGUGUCCUGGCCCCAGACUGCCCGUGCCUAAUGAGGGGCCACCUCCCUUUCCUUCCAACACGAGCUGCCUCUCCUGACCUCAGAUGGCCUUAAUGCCCGACUGCUGUGUCCUGCUGGAGGAACGAGGGCUGUAGGUGAGUGACCGGGUGACGAAUGUGUCGGUGGUUUCCAGGGCCACUGUGGGAGUGCAUGUGUGUGUUUCAGGGUGGGGUGGACUUACGUGGGGCUCGGCCUGGUUCUGCUCUCUCUUCUCUAAGUAUCCAAGAGAGCCCUUAGUUGCAGGGGCUGAUGGAGAGCCCCACUCUGCUCCCCUGCUGCAUCAUGAGAGGAACCCUGUAGCUGCUAUGUGCCAAGGGCUCCUGGUGAAAGGCCUCCCGUUUAUCUCAUUGAUUCCAGUGCAGCAGAUAAAACCCCAGCCCAGAAUGACCUGCCUUGCUUAGGGCUGCACUUGCUCCCCUGAGGAAUAUGUCAGAGCCUCGCUGUGCCUCCCUCAUCCCACCUCCUGGCUCCUCUCCUGUACCCCACUUCUUCUCCUUCUGUUCACAGCAGGAGCCUCUGGAAGGAGGGCUUGGCAAGGAAAGGCAAUGAGUGGGAGUUAGGAGCCACUGACACCCUCUGGUCUUCCCACCCUUGCUGCACAUCCGGCCACACUCCCUUCCCUCUGGCAUCUCCUCAUGGACACUUGGGUCAUGAGGGGCAGCUGGGGAGCCCGGACUCCAGGAGGGGUAGGGAGGAGGGUAGGAGCAGGAGGAACUGGCCUGGGGCAUGCCCAUGGCUAUGGCAUGUUCAGGCUUAGCAGGCAGAUUCUCGAAGCACCCUGUGCCUGGGGCAGGAGCGGGGGGUCCCUCCAGCAGAAGGGUGGUGCCUCGAGGGGAUUUUUGAUGUUGUCUGAUGGGGUCAGAGGGCGUAAGAUCCUGGGCUGAGGACAGCUCGAUGCCGACAGUGCGCCUCCGUAUGGGGUCCUGAGGGCGUCACCCACACAGGUUGGGCAGAGGCCAGUCCAGGCAUGGCUUGCUUGAUGCUGACAAUUUGCUGCUAAAAUGAGACUUCCUGUCUGACAGCACAAACUGGGAGCCUGCUCCCAUUACUUUAAAUGGGAAAAAUGAUAAUGCAUUGCUUGUUGCCCCAAACCCUCCGUGCAAGUCCCUAAAAUGUAUCUAAAACACGAUAAAGUGCUCAUUUAUAAUUAAGAUCCCUGAACAAGUCCCCCAAACGUAACUGAAAUGCGAGAUCGUGCCUCCUGGUGAGGGAGAAUCUGUGGGGCUGUGAUGUCCCAUGUUUGGCACGUGGUCACCAGCACAUGACUUCAGCACAGCUGUGCAAGGGCCACAAGGGGUGACUGCUCUGCCCUUGGAGCAGCCCUGUGCAGGGCAAUCAGCACUGCAGCUGCGUAGUGUCACUGUGUGAAGGCUGACUCCACACCGAGGGGCCCAGGAUGGCCAUUUUGUUGUGCUCACAGCUUCUGUGAGUCUGGGCUGGGGAGGGCACAGGGGCUGGCUGGACUUUGCUCCACAGUGUUGGGGCCUCAGCUGGGAGAGCCCAAGUCUGGUAGCGGGGGGCCACGUCAUCCCCCAGCACCCUCUCGGGGGCUCUGUGUGUGGCAGCUCAUCACAGCGGGACUUCUGACAUGGCCAGGGCUCCAGGAGUGAGGGCUGCAGAGAACAGGUGGAGCUGCCUCGCCUUAGGAUGUGUCUCAAAGUCACAUGACGUCACCUCUGUCCAUUGGUCGGUAGGUCCAGGGAGGAGGGCCCUCUCAGUGGAGCAGUGUCAGGGCCGCGUUGGAGAACAGCUUGCGGGGUAGAGAAGUCAUGUCGUCGUAAACAUCACAUGUGAUUCACAUAUUCUACUAAUUGUACUUGGAAAGUGGCUUGAGACUUUUUUUGCCCAUAAUUUUGUUAAAACUUGUGUACUGAAUUUUUUGGGAUGUAAAAAUAAAAUGUUCCCUGUAAUUCCGUGAGGCCUGCUAGGAGAACUAUGAUAUGAAAGAUGGAUGGUAACAAGCGUUGCUGAGGAUGUAGGACAAUCAGAGCCCUUGGACGCUGCUGCUGGGAAUGAGAGUGGUGCAGCCACUUUGGAAAAGAGUUUGGCGGUUCCCCAAGAAGUUAAGCCCAUCCAGCAAGUCCACUCCUACGUAUGCAUCUAAGAGAAUGGAAAAUGUGCAUUCACACAAAACCUUGUACGUGAACGUUCAUAGCAGCAUUGUUCAUAGUAACCAAGAGGUGGGGACAGCUCCGACUCAGGUGUUCAUCUGGUGAAUGGAUCAACAGCAUGUGGAAUAGCCAUAGGAGGAAAUACCCAGCCAUAAAAUGGAACAAAGUACCGACUUAUGCACCAGCAUGAAUAACUCUUGAUGCUAAGAUAAGUAAGCCUGAUGCAAAAGGCUUACUUAUUGUGGAAUUCCUCUGGUAUGCAAAUCCAUAGAUACAGACAGUGGAUUGCUGGUCACCAGGGCUGGAGACGGAGGAGUGACUGCUAAUGAGGAUGAGAUUUCUUUGAUGAAAAUGUUCUAGAAUUAGAUAGUUGUACAACCUUGUAAAUAUACUAAGACCCACUGAAUUUUAUACUUUGAAAGGGUGAAUUCCACAGUAUGUGAAUUAUGUCUUAAUAAAAAUUGUUUCAGAAAAAAAGUACAGACAUAAAUCACUCAAUGACAGAUAUGUUCUGAGAAAUGUGUCCUUAGGUGAUUUUGUUAAUGUAUGAACAUUGAAGUGUACUUACAAAAACCUGGAUGGCAGAGCCUACUGCACACCUAGGCUGUAUGGUAUGACCUAUUGCUCCCACGCUGCAAAUCUGUACAGCAUGUCCCUGUACUGACUCUUGUGGGUAACUGUAACAAAAUGGUCAGUAUUUGUGUAUCUAGGCAUAUCUGAACAUAGAAAAGGUACAGUAGAAAUACCAUAUUAUAAUCUAUGGGACCACCAUCCUAUGUGUGGUCUGUUGUUGACCAAAAGGUCGUCAUGCAGUGCAUGAUUGCAUUUAAAAAAUCAGCUGAGAGAUAUGUCCUUUCUGUGAACUCUGAGUAUUAAAUGUCAAGCGCCUUUCUUCAGGAGAGGUUCUUCAGGGUAUGGUGGUAACAAAGGGUUGCAGACACCCACACUGUUUCCUCAUGCAGGGCCACUGGAGGAGGAUGAGUUGGAAACGUAGCUGACACUGGAGGCCCAAGCAGACAUCUACCUCAAACCCAAUGUGAAUCUCAGGACAGGUUUGCUCAGCUUGAUGGGUGGGCGGGAAGAAGACGCGACGACCAAGAGGCAAAAGUGGAACCUUAGAGUCAUGAGAGGAUGACAUUUGCUGAUGACCUUCAUGCCAGAUGCCCACUUGAGAGCCUGGAGAGAGUGGCAUGUAGCACUUUCUGCCUGCUGAGUGGCCUGCUCAUGCCCCUGGGAUCUCUGGCUCCAGGGCCUGUGUUUAUCCUGCUAUGGCAAACCACACUGCCUUCUCUAAGGCAGCAUCUCCUGGUGGGAAGAGUAUCAUCUGCUUUGAAGUUCUGUGAAUGGACCAGAGGAAGUGAAAGGAAGAAAAGAGACCAAAUGGGAGGCUGUUGCUGUGGUCCAGGCAGGGGGUGCUGAUGGCAGGAGAUGCUGGAGGCCAGAGUCAGGGCGGGCAGUCACUGGUCAGCAGAGGAUGCCAUAUGGAGCCUCAAGAACAAAGGCCAUCGGAAUGGCCGUUCCCUGGCGUGGAGCCCCACAGGACUCAUCAACCGGGGUUGAGGUUGGCUGAAAACAGAGCAAGAGAGGCCCUCGCCCAUCUCAGGCCCUCUCCAUGCCCUCUUUCUGGUGGGAUCCAUGAAAGGAACUGGCAGCACAUUUCUAUUUCUUGGGAUUUAAGAUCCUUUGUGUGAAAUACUUAAAAAACCAGGUUAUGGUUUAUCCGUAAAUUCUGGCUGGAUCCCACUGGCUUCCUGACACCUCAUGGGCCAUUUUUCCUCUCCCAGCCACUUUCCUCACCUCACCCAAGGCAUGCUGACAAAGGAGCCCUGGCCAGAUGCUGCCACUGCAGAAUUUUUAAAAAUGGAUUAACCAAAUAGAGUUUAUAAAGUAGAGGUAGAAUUCACAUAACGUAACACUAUUUUAACAAUUUUGAAGUGUAGGAAACAGUGACUUUUAGUACAUCCACAAUGCUAUGUGACCAUCACUGUCUAACUUCAGAAAGAAUCCCCACCCCACUAGCAGUGACAUCCUAGUCCCGCCUCUCCUGCCACCAGGCAAUCAGGAAUCUGCUUUCUGUCUCUGCAGAUCAGCCUAUUCUGGGCAUUUCACAGAACUAUAUCAAAUAGUGUGUGUCUUUUGUGUCUGGCUUCUUUCACCGAGCACAGUGUUUUCAGGUCUGUUGUGUGGCAGCAGGAGGGAUCACAGCUUCCUUCCCUUUCAGGGUUCCACAGUGUUCCGCCGUAUGGAUGGACCACAUUACCUUAUGGAUGGACCACAUUUGGCUUCUCCAUACGCCCACCAGUGGCUGCUUUCUGGGCAUUAUGACUAACACUGAUGUGAGCAUUUGUGUACGUUUUUCUUUGACUCCCUGCAGAAUUUUGGUGUGGGCUGAUUCUCGGGUUUCACUGGACCCGGCCUCCUCUGGUGAGUGCCUGCUAAGACUGUAAUUCACUGAUUGGCUAUCCUGGGAUUUGUUUUCCUCAGAUGAGACUGGUGUUUUCUGCUGAAUACAAUGGAUUGCUUAAAGGGUCUUGAAGGGGCAUGAUACUGCAAUAUGCACCUUCCACGGCCUGGAAUCUUCCUGAGUCUUGUCUUGGUUGAGCUGCCUUCCAUGUACAGGUGGGGUCUGUCUCUCUCUCUACUAUGUUUUUCGAAGGAUCCUCUGAUGCUAUUUCUGGAAUUUCCUGCUACUGUCUCUAUUUCCCAAAGACCCAACUCUGUUCUCAGAUUUAUCAAAGCUUUGAGACCAGAGGUAUUUGAGGUAUGAGAUCAACUCUAUUAGUGCCCUAGGAAUUAAGAUGCCAGGCCCGUUUCCUGAUAAUGCUCUGUUUUAGUAAUCACGGCUUGGUGCCACCUUAUACUGUAUACAUCUGAUCUUUUGCAUGGAUGGCAUUUGCUUUCAGUAAGAUUGGUUUAGGGCUGAGGUGAUUGUGAGCUGCAUUGCUGGAAGAGUGGCGAUUGGGGGAAGAUGGCGGUCCCCUGCCCCACCCAAGCUGUGGAUACAUCAUCUCUCGACCACUGCCCCCAGGUCAGUGUAAGCUCUCUCCCUGAGAAGGGCAACCAGGGCUACGAAGAGACAGCAAGUGUGGCACUGGAAUCUUAGCAAGGAGCUGUGUGAACGAUGCUGAGGAAGCGCAUGUGCAGAGCAGAGUUGGUCCGGAUUACAGCUGGGACCUCCCGUUGGCUUACAGGGUGGAGGCUGAAGCCCACGCAGAUGCCCUCAGUCACUCACAACGGCUUGCUGUUCAGGGCUCCCUGCUUUGUUCCCUGUGCCACGCCCUGCAUAAUGCCAGUGCCGUGGUGCCCAUGGGUUACCAAUCUGCAAACAUGAGUGACAUGGCUCAGCAAAACCUUCUCUUGACGUCCAUGGAAAGCGCGGGGCUGCUGAGCGCGACCCAGAGAACCGCAGAGUGUGUGUCUCAAGCUCUCUGGGCACAUGAGCCCACUAGGUGGGUUUUUGGGUGCCACUGGCUGCCCUUUUUCAUGGCUAUUUUUUCUGGGCAUUUCUCUUUAAAAUGUUGACCAACAUGAAUUGUUAAAUUGUUGAGUUUAGGUGCAUAAAAUGUAUAUAUAAUGGAAUUUGUCAGCUUUUCAAGAGGCAGCAUAGAGUCUCUGAUCCUCCAGUGGCAUCCCCACUUCCCUGUGGGGUGUCUGCAGUUCCAGAGAGUCAUGGAGCUUGCACUCUUGCUUAUUUUAGCAGUUCAAGGCCUUUGACCCCAAAUUUUUGCUUGUCUUAUCCAACAGAGUCUCAUGCACGGUCACUUUUAUUUCUCAACACACUUCCCUGCUCAUCUGUUGGUUCCUUUAACAGAGCUUCAAGAGAUCCUAGAAUCAAGAUGGUGCCAUGAUCAGGGAGCAACCAAAUAACCUUUGCAAAUCUCUCUCUAAAUACACACACACACACACGCAAAUACAUUCAUAUGUGCAUGUGUAUGUACACACAGAUUGAGUGUCCCUUAUCUGAAGUGCUUGGGACCAGGAGUGUUCGGGAUUUCCAGUGUUUUCGGAUUUUGGAAUAUGCACAUACAGGUAAUGAGCUGUCUUAGGGGAUGAGACCCACUCACGCCUAAACACAAAACUCACUUAUGUUUCAGAUAUACCUUAAAACACAGCCUGAAGGUAAUUUUAUAUAAUGUUUUAAAUAAUUUCGUGCAUGAAACAACAUUUUGACUGCAAUCUAUCACAUGAGGUCAGGUGUGGAAUUUUCAGUGUCAUGUUGACAUUAAUGAAAUUUUGGAAUUUGGAGCAUUUCAGAUUUCAGAUUUUCAGAUUAGAAGUGAUCAAUCUGUCUAUGUAAGUGUGUUUGUUCAUUUACUUUCAGCCCUGUCUGAAGAUAUUGGAAAGGAGGAGAAGAAAGAGGAAAGCAGAGAAGAUCGCCUCGCAGAGGCCAGGCUGCAGCUUGGGCUCCGUGCACCUCUGCCUGCUGACGGGAUCCACCUCAGGUCAAGAAGGUGCUGGCUCACCCUUCCCUCAAGAUUUUAGAGAUCCCAGUGCAUGUCCUGGAAAUCCUUUAAAAUUCAAAGACAACAAGCAAAGCUCUGGCUAAUUAAAUGUUUUCUGCUUACCGUCAUUAACAUAUUAAUGAGACAGGCUAAAUGUAUUACUCAGUGGUGCAGAAGCUCUUAGGUCUGUGCACCCCUUUUUGAGAGGAUUUCUCCAUGUGGCAUCCGUGUUUACAGUGCACUGGCUUUCUGUUCAUAGGGCUUUUACGUGGGGGCAAUGGCACGGCAGAAAGCAUCCCCAGGGUGAGAAGGGGAUGGGGAGGUCCACAUUGCAGUUCAGACCCGCUGGACACCUGCCUUUGAGAUAGCCACGUCCCUGAGCCUUUCCUUUCAAAGGAUGGUGGGUCAGUUUCUAAUGUUCCCAUUUUGACCUCUCAGACUCAGGGACUGGGGCUAGAGCACAGGUCCUCUCGUUGAGGUCACUGUAGCGCUUCAGAGGCAUCAGCAUUCUUGCUUUCUUUUGCACAUCCUUGGUUUUCAGUUAUUAUGGGUACACAGCGAGCCACCCCAAACUUAGUACAACAAUAGCCAUUUUGCUGUGUUCACGGAUUCUGUGGGUAAGGAAUUUGGAAGGAGCCCAGGGUGUGGUGCGUCAGUUGGGAAGAUUCGAGUUGAUAGUAGGUUUGCUCACUCCCGUGUCUGUGGCGCACGUGGCCUCUGUGUGGCUGGGCUUCCUUGCAGCAUGGCAUCCUGAGCCGCCUUCCACGGGGGCUUGCUCAGGGCUCCCAGCACAAGUGUUCCAGCCAACAGGGUGGAUUCCACAGCGCCUUUUCUGGCCCAGUCUCUGCCACACUGAAUCAUCUAUACCUGGCGAGGUCCUGACUUCCUUUCUGCCAGACCCUUCUCUGGUCCUCAAGGUCCCUUACUGUUUUUGCCCCUGGUUACAACCUCCUGUGUACCUGUCCUGGAGUGUUGUGGUUAGGAGUGUGGUCUCGGGCGCAGACUGAAAUACACUGAUGUGUGCAGUAGGAACCUCGGCUGCUGCCCUAUGUUCAUGGCAAGCACUUCAGAGGCGAGUCCUCCAUAAAGGGCCUUGACUUUUCUUUCCCAGACUAAAGUGCAGGUUCCUUCAGGGAAGCUCUGUCUUGGUCAUCUCUGCCUGGCAUUUCCUGCAGGACUUGGCAAGUACUGUGUUCCCUCUGCUUGGGCGGUCUGCGCUGGGUCUGUCUCCUGUUCUGUAAGUCUCACAAAUUCACCCUCUCAGAGCAGCCGUCUCUGCCUGUCCCCUGCUAGGAGCUGUGGUGACCCCCACUCAUCUUGUUUCCUUUUGUUCAUGACACUAGCUCUAAUGAAAAUGUUUCAUCCCUUGUUUGUUUCUGUUAGACCAGGAUAGGAACCCCACCAGAGCCAGAUCCGGGCCUGUCUCCUUCCCUGCUAUUCAGUGCCUACAAGAGGGUCUGGGUCAAAAAUGAAUGGAGAGGAGGAAGCGAGGGAUAAAAAGAUCAACUUCAGGAAGAUUUCAGAAACACGGUGCUGAGAAUAGUAGGGUCAUGUACCAGGGUGGGAUUUACUUCCUUUUUAUACACUUAAAAAAUCUCAAAGACAUCCAUUCAGCUUUCAGUUUAGGUGAAAUCUAUUUGUAAUAAAAAUAAAAUGAUAUUUCAACAACUUAAUUUUGAGUAAAAAUAUUUUCUGGAGGG
This is a long non-coding RNA of Cercocebus atys (sooty mangabey), 11828 nucleotides long. RefSeq lists it as uncharacterized. The transcript has 4 exons. The record is from RefSeq and is a predicted model, not a curated record. NCBI's taxonomy places the organism in Eukaryota, Metazoa, Chordata, Mammalia, Primates, Cercopithecidae.